UUGGCGAAUGCAGGUGUAACUACAUGGCUGAUAACCCGAUGAACGUGGGUUCGAUUCCCGCCGGUUCCGACAACGAUGGAACCGUAGCUCAAUGGUAGAGCGUCGCACGUUACACCGACUCUUGUCGCCAAUCU
RNAcentral lists this Y RNA (134 nucleotides) under Crenothrix polyspora. RNAcentral describes it as "Y RNA-like". It matches the Rfam family "Y RNA-like". Rfam says of the family: In Deinococcus radiodurans Rsr is tethered via Y RNA to the exoribonuclease PNPase and channels single-stranded RNA into the PNPase cavity. Rsr and Y RNA enhance degradation of structured RNAs by PNPase. Lineage: Bacteria; Pseudomonadati; Pseudomonadota; Gammaproteobacteria; Methylococcales; Crenotrichaceae. The record is from Rfam by way of RNAcentral.